RNAcentral lists this small RNA (1637 nucleotides) under Cryptococcus neoformans H99. Its description in RNAcentral is "Cryptococcus neoformans var. grubii H99 hypothetical RNA". Lineage: Eukaryota; Fungi; Basidiomycota; Tremellomycetes; Tremellales; Cryptococcaceae. The record is from RNAcentral.
AUAUACUCAGAAUAUACAAGCAGAAAGAACCAGAAUUUGCCAUCCAUGGAUACACAAACCUAGAGCAAAGAAUACAUAUCGUCGAGCUCAAAAGCUAUCAGACAACUACAUCAUCGAUUUACCCAUUAUUCGCCCCUUAUCCCAUGACAACAAUUUUGAUCAAUAAGCAUACACACAAAACUAGAAGAUUCUGGCCAAUAUCUUCUCUUAAAAAGUGAUCGGAGAGUGAUCAUCCUUGAGAUCCUGGUAAUAGCUGUCAAUUGCAUCAAAGAAGUCGAGGUCUGUCUUGAGGUCGGCAUCGUUUGAGCGGUGGAACAGAGUACGCGCAAAGAUCUUGAAACCAAGACCUAUUCCUCCCACAAGAGCGAUCUUCUUACCAUGAAGGUUGCCACAUCCCAAUUGCCUUUUAAGAAACGGCGUAGCCCGGAAUCCAGAUGAACAACCCGGUCCAAAAGAGCGCCCAGGCCAGCAUAAGGCUGGCUCCUGGAAGGCGCGAGGAGGAAUGACUUGCAGUCGAUUUUUUUGGGCUUUCAUGGCGACGUUGAAGGGGAUCCACGUGAUGGCCAUCACCAAUUGCUAUGGAAAAAAUUAGUGCAGGAAUUUUCCAACCCGAAUCAGCACAAAUUAUUUGCUUGGGGGCAGCUGCUCACUUGAGGAUCCAGUUCAAGACAACCUUGGAAGAUGACCCCAAUGCAAGGUAGGACGGACAUGUAAGAAGCAUGACCACAACGCAGCAAGUAUAUGGAACACCAUGUCUGCUGAGUCUGGUCAAGAUUCGAGGCGCUUUGCCAUCGAGGGCAAGGGCGUGCAGCGAACGCGUAGUAUUAAAAGUGAAGGCAUUACCAGCCGAGAGAAUGAUUACGAUAAGACAAGCGUUGACGAUGGAAGGUAGUACUUUGAUCUUGAGGUUUUCCAUUGAUAUGACACUGUUCACCAUCAGUACCUGAUUGGAAGGAACAGGAGGAGAAUUGAGCUCACUAGGGACAUCCACCGGCAUAUGUGUCACUACCACCGAGCAAACUGCAUGUCAGUCAAUUGAUAAAGCUCAACUUGUCACAUACAAUUACUGAUAUUGUAUCAUUGGAAGGAAGCAGAAUCCUAACGUAUAUGGCACUUCCGACAAAGAAGAGCUUUAAUCUCUUGAUAAGGUUCUUAAAGGCUCUCGGGACCGUUCGCCGUAGCUCUUUGCCCCACCGGCAAUCAUGAUGAGAUAUUGGGGCCCGCCCAGACUGAAUCCAGCCACGUUGACGGCGUUGACAAAAGAAAGAAGACGAUCAAUGGCUGAAUCGCCUGCUCAUGGACCAGGGUUGCCCCAGUAUCGGAAACCAAAAGCACUACUCUUGAAUAUUAGCCAUAGUCUUCCCGAUCGAUUGGGUAAGGGACACAUUCUUUGUCAGGGUUACCACCUGACAUGACGACCACCGUGUAGAUUAUCAGGCCGGUAGCAAAGAGGAUCUUUCCAAGGGAGAACCAGGGCUGUACAAAUGGAUGAAUAUACAGCUCAGGGAUCCGUCCAGAAUGUUCACACUAUCCAGGCUUGAAGCCGUGGCCGAACAUACGUCUACUAACCCCCGCUGCCGAUCCAUAAGCUUUCAAUAUCUCCAUGCGGAGAGAAGACUGCUCGAAAUGACAUCUCA